AAUCAGAAGAAAUACAACUGUUUCAGUCUGAUCUGAGUGGAGGAGAAUUGUGUCCUCAAUCACACCUGUCCAGCAUUGGUGUAACAUCAGUUCAGGUGUUUUCAGGGUGAAGAAAGACAUGAACAUGGGUAGAGGGAGUUGGUGGGGGAGCAACAAAGUCUGUGAUUCCCAGUGUAACAGGAAUUGUAAACAUAAUGAGGUGUCAUAGGUUUGAGUUCCUGCAGGUCGACAUCUUGUUGGUCCUGAUCAGAGUUAAUCACCUGCAGCUGCCAACAAUCGACAACAGAAGAAGAAAAGACAUCAGACAGCAGGAGAUAGAGAGAUAACAGAUUAAAGAGAUGCUCUUGCUCUCUCUCUGUUAUUAUAGCGAUGUGUGAUACGUCCUCCAUCACCCUGACGAAACUCUGACAGGAGGAUCUUUAAGGAUUUAAAGUGUCAAACCUGCAAGAAGAGUAAUGUCUGUUUGAGGAUAUAUGAGGAGAGAGAGGAUGUCAAACUGAAUCCUGCUGCCUGAUGGGACGUCUGACUUUACUUUACUCUGCUUUAUUGUACUUUACUUCACCUCAACUCCUCUCACUUUACACCAAACACUCCAUGUCAAUUAACUUACUGUGUUUUUACUUUACCUCACUUACUUUGUACUUUGACUUUUUCCCUUAACUUCACACUAAUUCAUUUAAAUAUCUUAAUUGACGUUGUAACUCUACAGCUCUUUGCUUCAUGUCACUUUCUUUACUCUAACGUCAUUUUAUGUAACUUAACUCUCUGACACAUCUACUUAAUUUACGUGACUUCACGUUACUUUCUUUAAAUCACUUUGUUGUAUUUUUACAUCAAAUCAGAUCCUGUCAAGUACGUUAACCCCACCUAACCUUAUGUUUAUGUUCUUCAUUUCACAUUCACCUCAUUUUACUUUACAUCAUGUUGCAUCACCUCUCCUCGGCCUACACCACCUGACUUUACUGCACUAGUUUAUUUUCACUUCCCCUCAGAGCUUUGUAAGAUUUUCUGUUGAUGUAAUUCAACAGCAAGCUGCAGUAUAUACUGGGAAUGUUUCUGACAUCAGAAGGGUGUCUGAGGUCACUAAGAUCGACUGCUACAAAUAUCUGAGUUUCUUUCCACCUGUGACUGACAAAAGGAGUGGGUGAUUCAACCAGAGGAGGAGGAGGACGAUGAGGAGGAUAAGAAUGAGGAGGAUAAGAAUGAGGAGGAUGAGGAGGAUGAAGAACUGCGAUGUCACCACUGACACCUUAAACACCUGGACUUGUAUUUGAUCCUUGUGUUCAUCAGUUUAUUGGAUCCCGUGUUAAAUUCAGGCCAACAUUAUGUCUGUUACAUAAAAUCCAGUUUACUCUGGAACUUCUGUUAUAAAAGAGUUUCUUUUUUUCUGCAGACUGUAGCAGGAAACGUUUCCUGAGGAAAAACAUAAACCGGCUGAGUCCUCAUUACUGAACCCACUGUUUUUGCUUUUACAUUUCUCUACACAGUUAUAUAAAACCAGUCCAAAGCUCCAGGGCCUGUCUGUCCCAGAGCAUCCUGGGUAAUGUAGGAAAUCACUGACUGAAGCAGAACUGGUGUUUAAAACAUGACGGACUGUA
Molecule: long non-coding RNA, 1598 nt
Organism: Xiphias gladius (swordfish)
Lineage: Eukaryota; Metazoa; Chordata; Actinopteri; Istiophoriformes; Xiphiidae
Exons: 3
Source: RefSeq, a predicted model, not a curated record